AGUAAUGUCGUCCGAGCAAGAACAGAAGUGUAUAAAGAAAGUAAAAUGCAAUUUAUGCAUAUGUACCAUUAUAAAAAGUAAAUAAUGUUCUAAAAAUCGAUUAGAUAGAUCAGUGGCGUUGGGAGAUGCUCGGGGUGGCGGGCAAACUUCUUACUGUGCACGACCUUCGUAUUCUUGCCUCCUCAGUAUCUUUUUAGAGGGGUGACUGUCCCCUUGCCUACCUUCCCUCCGGUUCCUACGCCACUGUAGAUAGGUAGAAUUCAAUACACUCCUGCACCCAUUUGACCUUUCACCCUACAGUUAAAGUCCGCUCAAACAAAGCACCCCCCCCCCACACACACACACACUUUUAAGAGCACCACUGAUCCUUGGCAAGCACAAUUGAAGCCCUCGAUCUCUGAGUUUGCACGUCUCCCGGUCAGCGUAUAGCGCGUUGUCAGCCCUGUACUCGUGCAUGUCUGUCACCAACCCUGUUUAACUCUACAGGAUUCUCCGCCUAUUUACUUCAGGUGGUCCUCGAGAGAUAUCGCGCUCUGAUAGACGACAUCAGGGUGUGCACGCGUGCCUAUUGUCAACCGGCGUCACCCGGCGUUUCGCGAGACUGCACGUGAAAAUGUAUCUACCUUACCUUUUUGCGAAAGGUCGCACCAGGGUCAGAGUACAUGUAGCGCCUGUAAAGACCACUGCAUGAAUAUCGAACGCUUCUCUCUCCCCUCCCUUGAUCGCCCCAACCGCCAUGCAGUAGUGAUCGAGAAAGGCAAGAGACGACGAUCAUUCAUUCAGGGAUCAAUUAAAAGGCAACGGGGUGAACCUUAAGUGAGGGGAGACGUGUCUGAAGAACGAGACUUCAUAAAACUCAAGACAAUGGUCACGAUAUAGACAUUUUCUUUCUUAUAGGAAGCCAAAAUAUACUAAAGUAGACAUUCAAUCAUCGUGUACAAGAAAUAAGAAAAUGUGAAUCAAAGCAACAUCGGAAUCCAUCGAAGGAUCUUAUUUGGGGAAAAGGUUUUGUCUACAGGUGCCUCAUGGACACCAAGAUGACGAAGAUAGCUUUCUAACCCACAUACACACAAAACAUUUUUCCUGACGAAGACAUCAGGGAGCCUGCAAUCAUUGUGACUCAAAGAUGAUUACACAAAUGCUCGAUAUACUAAAUGAUCUAUUCUGCAUAACAAGUUGUGUAUCUAGUUUCACAUUUUGGUUGUCAUCCACAACAUCUCAGCAAGAAGGACUCACUAUACAUUCAGGUUAAAGGUCAAAUUAUAGGUUCUUCCCCCUUCGUUGUGGUUAAGUGCUCGAUGAAGAUGCCAACGACAGCUUCUCGCAACAGCUUUCCUUGGAAACCCGGCGAACAGGUGUCGCUCCCGAUCGGAGAGGAAUUUCUGACUUGCGAUGACCACAACUUGCCGGCUAGAGUGACCAGUGACGUCACAGCCAUGCCAGGCACGAGGGAGAAGACAGACACACAGACGGCGAGAGUGCUAAAAGGCAAAGAAUUCGCCUUCAUACUGGACUCGAACCGGCUCCACCGGUUCCCGAUCUUGGGGCCCACCCGUCAGGACACGGAGCUGUACUUCAGAUUGCGUCGACAAAAGGAGAGGAUGCUGGUGACAAGGUCAGCAGAGCAUGUCAACCGCCGGGACUCGACCUUUCACAGCAGGUCAGCGGUGAAAGUCAACAUUUUCUCCAGAAGGGCUCACCAGUCCAUCGGUGACGUCGACAACAAGACAGCGUUCAGCACCACCACCACUAACACCAGGUGGAGAGGAGAUGAAAGGAGUGUCAGCGGCACUCGGAACUCUAGCGCCCCCACGAAGACCUCCUUGAUGCAGAAACGAUGUUCGAUUCCAGCCUCUCCUCGGACAGCGAAAUCGCACAUCGGGACGUCAGAGGCGCCACGUAAGCCCUCGUUCGAUUUUCCUCAAAUAGGAAGUUCUGACGUCACACAUGCUUUUCAGUCCCACCUCUCUUCUCAUCAACAUCGUCACCUCAAGAUGGCGGCCAAUGAUGAGACGCAGGCUGUAGUGCGAAGACCUUGACUCCGUCCAAGUACGGGUUUCACCCGCGAAGCCACUCUCCGACCUUUCAAAGAUUGGUGGCUGUCGCGGACAAAUUGCAAAUCGUGUCAGGAGCCUGCGACAGCAGCAGCGGUUGUCUCCUACCACACCACAGGGGGCGCUGCCAUGACUCUGGCGCGACAGUAGUCCGGCUUCCUGAUGUUACCGUAUGGUCACGUGACUCAGCGGAAGCGAGCUGUUGCGAUGUGGAUGACGCACAAAGCAUGAAGGAUGACAAAAAUGUCAAAGGAAUUGAAACUAUCAGCGACUUAACGAAUGUUCACUUGUCCUCGAUUAAGAGGCCGGACCACAAACACAUUAGCGACGACGAAAAGCUCACAGCCUGCUGUCUUGGUCCUCCUUCGAGUUCCUGCCACGGUGAGUCAGAAGGCGAAAGGUCGCAAGGCUUGCAUUCUCCUAAUGGUUUAUUGGAGGAGUUUCUGGAUAGAGAAGCCAAGCAGCAAAGGGAAGAAACCUUUGCAGACUUCGAUGAAUACCGAUUGAGGAAGCGAGAGGAUCCCUCGCCGAUGACAGUCUGGGUUAGCCCUUCAGCAGACGUCACCACCCGUGAUGCAUCUGUUCAACACAUUUUCCCUCGACUAACCGAGACCAGGGUGCCAGUCAAAAAAACUGUUACGUUCUCAACGGUCUCAACAAGCCACGAAGCACCCGCAUCAGUGGAGCAGAUGGCUCUUCCUCCAGGGAUGAUGGCGCAAGCAAGACAAUGCCGCCCUUGCACUUCUCGAAAAGAUUACGAGUGCCAGAUAGCCCUGGAUGUCCAGAGCACCACUUCGCUGGCCGCAGCACUGGUCGGCAGUCACACACCACUGCACACUGGUCUCAUCGGCACGGCCAGCUUCCACAGAACGGCCACCAGGGGGCAGCAGCCGAGCGGAACUCAAAGUUCCACAGGGGGGCGAGAUUUGACUCUCCCAAGGGGGCCACGAAAAAGCGGCUUCACACCUCUUCCCUUUCCGGAGAGCCUGUUGAAGCCAUUUUUGAAAGGGGAACUGCUUAAAGAAAGGCUUGAGGAUGUUCAGACUCUGAUUUCCCAAGAUCACGAGUGAAUCGCUAUUUAUCACUCCUUUCUCUAUUGACUGAGCUCAGUCUAUGUGAUCCACAAUGUUAAGAAAUCUUUGUACUAAGUGCGAUAUGCAAACACUCUGAUGUGUUUAAUGUGUGUGCAUCCUUAUAUAUAUAUAUAAAAUAAUGUGAUCCUAUAUACAAUACAAAACGUCGUUAUUGUCUACAUUUGUUUAAAAAAAGAUUCUUUUAUUGGAAGCUCUCAUAAGCAAUAAGCUAAACAAAAUAAAGUCACAUCCCACACACCCAUACAAAUACUGCACUCAUGAUGAGAAGGGAUGUAAGUAUAUUACAUGUUAUUAAAAGCUUUGUCAACUGUUACACAUUUGUACAAAUAUGUAUAGUUGUAGUAGAACUGUUUACUUGA
Pomacea canaliculata is the source of this 3507-nucleotide RNA transcript. RefSeq lists it as uncharacterized. The record is from RefSeq and is a predicted model, not a curated record. The transcript has 3 exons. Lineage: Eukaryota; Metazoa; Mollusca; Gastropoda; Architaenioglossa; Ampullariidae.